AUGAAGCGAGAAGUCGACGCGCCGAUUUUCGGCGUCCGGCCCUCCGCAAGCGCCCACGGGAGUUCGGGUUCCGGACCUGGUCCGAUCCCGUUCCCUCCGUGGGGCUGUUUGCGAUCAGGAGGUGUCCUCGGACGGCGUCGUUUGUCUCCAGUCCGCGACGCUACGGCUUGGAUGGCCUACCCGACCCGUCUUGAAACACGGACCAAGGAGUCUAACAUGCGCGCGAGUCGUUGGGUCGGACGCGCUCCGCUAAACCCAUAGGCGUAAUGAAAGUGAAGGCCCCUUUUGGGUGCCGAGGGAGGACGGAGCCGCUCCCCUCGUGGGACGGCUCCCGCACUCCCGGGGCGUCUGAUUCCUCAUUGCGAGGGAAGGCGCACCCAGAGCGCACACGUUGGGACCCGAAAGAUGGUGAACUAUGCCUGGCCAGGACGAAGUCAGGGGAAACCCUGAUGGAGGUCCGUAGCGAUUCUGACGUGCAAAUCGAUCGUCGGAGCUGGGGAUAGGGGCGAAAGACUAAUCGAACCAUCUAGUAGCUGGUUCCCUCCGAAGUUUCCCUCAGGAUAGCUUGCGCUCGGAGGAGAGUCUCAUCCGGUAAAGCGAAUGAUUAGAGGCCUUGGGGCCGAAACGGCUUCAACCUAUUCUCAAACUUUAAAUGGGUGAGAACUCCGGCUUGCUCGAUCAAUUUAAUGAAGCCGGAGUCGGGGCCACGAGCCCUCAGGAUCGGAGUGCAUAGUGGGCCACUUUUGGUAAGCAGAACUGGCGCUGUGGGAUGAACCAAACGACGGGUUAAGGCGCCCGAAUCGACGCUCAUGGGAAACCAUGAAAGGUGUUGGUUGCUUAAGACAGCAGGACGGUGGCCAUGGAAGUCGGAAUCCGCUAAGGAGUGUGUAACAACUCACCUGCCGAAGCAACUAGCCCUGAAAAUGGAUGGCGCUGAAGCGUCGUGCCUAUACCCGGCCGUCGCCGCAGGGCGGGCCCCGUGAGGGGUGCCGCUUGACGCGGCGACGAGUAGGAGGGUCGCGGCGGCGUGCGCAGAAGGGUCUGGGCUCGAGCCUACCUGGAGCCGCCGCCGGUGCAGAUCUUGGUGGUAGUAGCAAAUACUCCAGCGAGGCCCUGGAGGACUGAUGUGGAGAAGGGUUUCGUGUGAACAGCCGUUGCACACGAGUCAGUCGAUCCUAAGCCCUAGGAGAAAUCCGAUACUAACGGCGAUGGGACGAAAGAACGAAAGAAAACAGCCCAUUGAUCGGGCGAAAGGGAAUCCGGUUCCUAUUCCGGAACCCGGCAGCGGAACCGCUGUUUGUCGGGCCCUCACAAGGGGUUCGUCAGGGUAACCUAAAAGGGCCCGGAGACGCCGUCGGGAGCCCCGGAAAGAGUUUUCUUUUCUGCAUGAGCGUUCGAGUUCCCUG
This 1406-nucleotide ribosomal RNA is filed under the name Sympecma fusca. Its description in RNAcentral is "eukaryotic LSU rRNA". It matches the Rfam family "Eukaryotic large subunit ribosomal RNA", at positions 602 to 1722 of the family's 3401-position model. Lineage: Eukaryota; Metazoa; Arthropoda; Insecta; Odonata; Lestidae. The record is from RNAcentral.